AAGUCGUAACAAAGGUUUCCGUAGGUGAACCUGGAAGGAUCAUUAACACGUAUCCAACGUUAAAACAACCCUGUGGGCUCCAUGAAAGCAGCAAUCCUGGUAAAUCAUUGUCGACCAGAUUUUGAGAGGGACCUCUGCCGAUGAGAGUUACGCUACCUGGCACCCCCAAGCAAUCAGAGUUCUGAAAGCGUCUUUAUUGUGUAAGGGUGGCGCAAACACGAUCGUUGGAGGCCGACACGGCCGACGACCGGGUCCCUGUUAACAAUGGAUAUCUUGGUUCUC
This 282-nucleotide unclassified non-coding RNA is filed under the name fungal sp. RNAcentral describes it as "partial internal transcribed spacer region". The record is from RNAcentral. Lineage: Eukaryota; Fungi.